UCUCUGGUUCUUCUACGCGGCGCCCCCAACCUCCAGCCACCAAGGCGGUAUCAGAACAACCACCCGGCCUGAUGCCAACCCUUCCCGCAGAGCUUGGCCAUUACGAAACUCCCAGCCUCAGUGUCCCGUUCUGUAAAUCGGACCCAGUGGACUCAGUGAAAAGGGUGACCCCCUGUAACUCUCAUCUCUGCUGCGCCCUGUGCCCCGCCCCACAUCCACGCGCCUCUCAGCAGCCUCCCUGCAGCCCGCCCGCUCGCCAGGCCUCUCUGCUCAACGCCGGCAUCUGGGAGGACAUCGCGCUUGCCCUAACGGGGCUCACACCGGCGCGUCCCCGCCAGACUGCAAGCACCGCUCCCAGACCCAACCCCUGGCUGCCGUUUCCAGUGCCAGGGAAGACGCGGCCUCACGUCCCAGUGAAAUAAUCGCUCCAUCAACGCCUGCGGGACAAGAGCCUUGUGUCCCCAGAGUGGCCAGCGCAGUGCCGCCCACAGGGGCCUGAGGGAGCGCUUGCUGACUGGACAGAAGCUCCGAUCCCUCAGCGCCUCGGGCCCUCUUUGGCAAGGGCAGUGCCCGUUCGGCUUGUACCAAGAGAAGACUCUGACCCCACGGCCGCCAGGGCAGAUGGCCCUGGAUGCGGAUGGUGUGUCACCCCGUCAGCCUGGGGGGCCGAAUCCGGGAGGCGGGUGGCGCCAGUGAAGACCCUGGAAGCCCUCGCUUCACUUCUCAUGCUCUGACUCAAGGCUGGCUUGUACCCUUAUUUUGUUUUUGUUUUGUUUUUGUUUUUAUUAAAUAAAAGGAACAGAGGAGGAGGGCUACUGUGGCCUCCCAGGCCUGGGGCCCAGCCAGCCCUCACUCUGUUCAAGGUGCA
Long non-coding RNA from Chinchilla lanigera (long-tailed chinchilla), 868 nucleotides. RefSeq lists it as uncharacterized. NCBI's taxonomy places the organism in Eukaryota, Metazoa, Chordata, Mammalia, Rodentia, Chinchillidae. The record is from RefSeq and is a predicted model, not a curated record. The transcript has 2 exons.